Non-coding RNA from Camellia sinensis, 660 nucleotides. The record is from RefSeq and is a predicted model, not a curated record. NCBI's taxonomy places the organism in Eukaryota, Viridiplantae, Streptophyta, Magnoliopsida, Ericales, Theaceae.
GGAGAGACUCCCAAGAGUUGAAGAACUCCUUCCUGUGAAGCUAUCGAAGAGGUUUAAUCGAAAGUGCUAAUCGAUUCUCUCCUUCAAAGAUCACAUUCCGAUUUUUGUACUCCUCCUUGGCAGCAAACGACUCCCUCUGCUCUAGUGACGACUCCUCUUCUCGUUAGAUACACCAGCACAUAAUUGUUAAAAUCUUGGUGGAAUUGUUCAAUACUCAAAUACUGGAAUUGUGGGGGAUUGUUCAUUUGUUUGUUCUUUCGAAGUUGACCCAUCUUGACUUGGUAUAUUAAUUGCUCUUCUUUCUCUACCUUGAUCUGAGUUUUAAUUUUUGUUGGGAUUUAGUUUAGUUUACUCUCUCUGUUGAUGUGUUGCUAUAAUAAUUUUUUGAUAAAAUCUUUUCAAGGCUAUGAUUUACUAAAUAUGUGUUUAUAUAUACUGUUCAAUCAUGCUGUUGAAAUAAAUAGUUUUAGAUAUUGGGUAAUUAUCUAAAACUAUUUAUUUCAUCUGUUCAAAUGAUAAUAAACUUAUUAAGCUUAUACUUGUGACUUGUUCAAUUGUAGAUACCAUUGGAUAUUGUUAGUCAUUGAUCUAACAUUGAUGAUUGUGUACUUACUUGAUCCGAUUAAUUCUAAAAUAAACACAAGCUUUGAAAUUGUAAUA